AACUUUCGGCAACGGAUCUCUUGGCUCUCGCAUCGAUGAAGAACGCAGCGAAAUGCGAUAAGUAAUGUGAAUUGCAGAAUUCAGAGAAUCAUCGAAUCUUUGAACGCACCUUGCACCCUUUGGCAUUCCGAAGGGUAUGCUCGUUUGAGUGUCAUUGUACUCUCAUGCUCCCGAUGCUUUUGGAUCGGGAGUGGUGGACUUGGGUGUUGCUGCUUUACUGUGGCUCACCUCAAAUGGAGUAGUGCAACUCUUGGUUGGACAUAGUACGGCGUGAUAAGUGUCUUCGCCGGCGCCUCAUUAGAGGGUGGCCGAUCGGGAGCUCUGUGCUUCAAACCGUCUUCGGACAACAUCUGACAACUUGACCUCAAAUCGAGUAGGACUACCCGCUGAAUUUAAGCAUAUCAAUAAGCGGAGGCU
Molecule: unclassified non-coding RNA, 417 nt
Filed under: uncultured Sebacina
Lineage: Eukaryota; Fungi; Basidiomycota; Agaricomycetes; Sebacinales; Sebacinaceae
Description: sequence contains ITS2
Rfam family: 5.8S ribosomal RNA (bases 1-154)
Source: RNAcentral